This 237-nucleotide long non-coding RNA is filed under the name Homo sapiens (human). RNAcentral's name for it is "HSALNT0263553". The record is from RNAcentral. Lineage: Eukaryota; Metazoa; Chordata; Mammalia; Primates; Hominidae.
AAACGCCGCCGCGGAGCCGAGGCGGAGCCGCUGUCCUCGUCCCCAGCGGUCCCGCCCAACGCCCGACUCUAUAGGCCACAGCUCUCCUGAAGGGAUUAAGACUUUCUGUGUGAAAAAUGGUAUUCAGAAGGAAGCCAGCAUUAAUUCUGUUUUUAUACAUUUAUGAAGAUUUGAAGGAAUUUCACUGUCAAUUCUGUCUUAAUUGUAUUCUGUAUAAUAAAUCAUAAUGGUAUCCAA